GCUGGCUCCCUUGAUCCGCGCGCCGAAUUUGGUGUGCCUGACUUGAGGCAUUCGAGUCGAGUUUUUGGGUGCGCUAGCGGGGAAUUCAUCAAACUAAUAUGGGGGAGACCGAUAGCGUACAGUACCGUGAGGAAAGAUGCAAAGAACUUUGAAAAGAGAGUUAAAAAAUGCUGAAAAAGCGAAGGAAACCAGUGUCGUCCCCGUCAUACUUCUUGCUCGCUUGCGGGCAGGGCGCUGUGCUAGGCGCUUGGUU
RNAcentral lists this ribosomal RNA (253 nucleotides) under Asterionella formosa. RNAcentral's name for it is "partial 28S ribosomal RNA". Lineage: Eukaryota; Bacillariophyta; Fragilariophyceae; Tabellariales; Tabellariaceae. The record is from RNAcentral.